Molecule: ribosomal RNA, 492 nt
Filed under: uncultured bacterium
Lineage: Bacteria
Description: partial 16S ribosomal RNA
Rfam family: Bacterial small subunit ribosomal RNA
Source: RNAcentral
AGUGAACGCUGGCGGUAGGUCUAACACAUGCAAGUCGAACGGCAGCACAGUAAGAGCUUGCUCUUACGGGUGGCGAGUGGCGGACGGGUGAGGAAUACAUCGGAAUCUACUUUUUCGUGGGGGAUAACGUAGGGAAACUUACGCUAAUACCGCAUACGACCUACGGGUGAAAGCAGGGGAUCUUCGGACCUUGCGCGAUUGAAUGAGCCGAUGUCGGAUUAGCUAGUUGGCGGGGUAAAGGCCCACCAAGGCGACGAUCCGUAGCUGGUCUGAGAGGAUGAUCAGCCACACUGGAACUGAGACACGGUCCAGACUCCUACGGGAGGCAGCAGUGGGGAAUAUUGGACAAUGGGCGCAAGCCUGAUCCAGCCAUACCGCGUGGGUGAAGAAGGCCUUCGGGUUGUAAAGCCCUUUUGUUGGGAAAGAAAAGCAGCAGGUUAAUACCCCGCUGUUCUGACGGUACCCAAGGAAUAAGCACCGGCUAACUUCGUG